UAGGGAAUCUUCCGCAAUGGGCGAAAGCCUGACGGAGCAACGCCGCGUGAGUGAAGAAGGAUUUCGGUUCGUAAAGCUCUGUUGUUAGGGAAGAAUGAUUGUGUAGUAACUAUACACAGUAGAGACGGUACCUAACCAGAAAGCCACGGCUAACUACGUGCCAGCAGCCGCGGUAAUACGUAGGUGGCAAGCGUUGUCCGGAAUUAUUGGGCGUAAAGCGCGCGCAGGUGGUUUAAUAAGUCUGAUGUGAAAGCCCACGGCUCAACCGUGGAGGGUCAUUGGAAACUGUUAAACUUGAGUGCAGGAGAGAAAAGUGGAAUUCCUAGUGUAGCGGUGAAAUGCGUAGAGAUUAGGAGGAACACCAGUGGCGAAGGCGGCUUUUUGGCCUGUAACUGACACUGAGGCGCGAAAGCGUGGGGAGCAAACAGG
Molecule: ribosomal RNA, 429 nt
Filed under: uncultured bacterium
Lineage: Bacteria
Also listed under: 1 other name
Description: bacterial SSU rRNA
Rfam family: Bacterial small subunit ribosomal RNA
Source: RNAcentral